GGCUGUGUGGUGCAGUGGUUAGAGUGCUGGACUAGGACCCAGAAGACCAGGGUUCAAAUCCCCACUAAGCCA
Molecule: non-coding RNA, 72 nt
Organism: Podarcis lilfordi (Lilford's wall lizard)
Lineage: Eukaryota; Metazoa; Chordata; Lepidosauria; Squamata; Lacertidae
Source: the annotation of a GenBank genome assembly